Molecule: non-coding RNA, 81 nt
Organism: Acanthosepion pharaonis
Lineage: Eukaryota; Metazoa; Mollusca; Cephalopoda; Sepiida; Sepiidae
Source: the annotation of a GenBank genome assembly
UUCCCGUCCGAUCACCAAAGUUAAGCAAUGUCGAGUCUGGCCAGUACCUAGAUGGGUGACCGUUUGAAAAUACCAAGUGCU